Molecule: ribosomal RNA, 508 nt
Filed under: Oncerometopus sp. WCW-2003c
Lineage: Eukaryota; Metazoa; Arthropoda; Insecta; Hemiptera; Miridae
Description: eukaryotic LSU rRNA
Rfam family: Eukaryotic large subunit ribosomal RNA
Source: RNAcentral
CGUGUGCGCGAGUCAUUGGGUGUUAAAACCUAAAGGCGUAAUGAAAGUGAAGGAAACUCCGCUUCCCGAGGGAGGAUGGGUUAGGUUCCUAUUCAGGGCCGGCCUCGCACUCCCGGGGCGUCUCUAUCUCAUCACGAGAGGAGGCGCACCUAGAGCUGUACACUGCUGAUACCCGAAAGAUGGUGAACUAUGCCUGGCCAGGACGAAGCCAGGGGAAACCCUGGUGGAGGUCCGCAGCGAUUCUGACGUGCAAAUCGAUCGUCGGAGCUGGGUUUAGGGGCGAAAGACCAAUCGAACCAUCUAGUAGCUGGUUCCCUCUGAAGUUUCCCUCAGGAUAGCUUGCGCUCGGAUGGAACGAGUCUCAUCCGGUAGAGCGAAUGAUUAGAGGCCUUGGGGUCGAAACGACCUCAACCUAUUCUCAAACUCCAAAUAGAUGAGAACCCCGGCUUUCUUGAACUUUGUUUAUGAAGCCGGGGGCUCGGAUCAGAGUGCCAAGUGGGCCAAUUUU